UUUCGUUCGGCUAGUUAUUCCCUGUCUCCCUCGAGGAGGCAAUCGCAUGAAGAUGAAGUUCGAUCCUCUCCCUCUCUCUCUCUCUCGGUCCGACCGAUCCAUCGUUUUCCGUCUCCCGAGCGCGCGGUUCGCUGAGAUUGAGCUGUGCGGCGGAGCAGCUUCGAGCUCGCACCGACGCUUGCGCAGGUACGAGCGGCCUCACCGAUGUGAUUGGAUCGGGGAAGGUGGCUUUGGACGACGCAGAUUUGAGCACGCAAAUGGACAAAGAUUUCAAAUAGACCGUAAAGGUCGAAGUCAUUCAUGGCUAUGUGGCCUCACCAAGGAAAAAGGGGUCAAGGAUUGGCACUGUAGAGAGAUUGGACUGUGACUGUGGUGGCAUUCGCAAUAGUUUGUUACCCUUCUCAUGUUUUGUACCGUACUUGUAUCACGUGUACUUCUUUUAAAUCCUUGAUCCCUGUACAAAGAUUCCUCCAUGAAAGUAUUCGCCAUGUGAAGAAAUAUAAUGUAGAAGAUGUCUAGAUAAAGGAUCCUCAUGAUGUAUACUUUUUGUCUCAAUCCCCGUUUAGAGUCACUCUUGAGUCAUAUCUUAUGGCUAGAGCAUCUGAAAUUUGCCCUUUCAAUGUGGCUAAGUGCGCUAAUAUAAUUUGAGAACUUCUGAUCUUACACUUAAGUGGUGCAAUAUUAACUUCUUCUGCAGUAAAUUUGUCUAAUCUUCUAUAAUCUGUGUCCUUAUCAUGAUGAGUUUUAUUUUGGUGUUUCUGCGUAUUGAACUAUUUUGGAGGUAGUGACAAAAUGCAAUUGAAUUGGAACAGGUAGCAUUAGUUAAUGCCUGCCAUGUUAUGUUGUGGAGCUAGACAUAUAUAUUCUUUUCAAAUGGAUUAAUCUGGAGGCUGAUUUUUUUUUUUUUUUAAUUUAUUGCAUCCACAUGUAGGUUUUAUUGGAACAGAGCUCAUACUCUACGUAACUUAGGCCUUUUGUCCCCUGAAAAAAUCUUAAUGUGCAGCCUGUAUGUGUACUUGUGUAGUGCGGAGUGCAUGAGGUUUAAAAUGAGAGAACUAGAGCACUUCUUAACGGUGUUCAAAUUUUAUUAUCUUAUUAGCAGUUUUACCUACUAAAGGUCUUAAAAUUAGCCAUCUUGAUUCCAUUCCAUUCAUCCACUAGAGAAGUUAAAUGUUCCUUACGAGGGCAUGAUGUAGGAUGACCUUGAAAACCCUCCAGUUGGUCCCCUGUAUUCUCUCUGUUGGAUCCCACUCUGUAUUGAAUUUCUAUACCUCAGAUUAUCUUUGCCAUCAUGUUCUAUGGCUUUGAUUUCUUUAGGGCUUAGACGCUUAAGUAUUGUUUAUGUAUUUAUUUGUAAAGGUUGAACGUCAUGAUUGAAUACGUUUUGGGUAUGCUUAUGCCCAUUGUACCAUAGCACUUGAAUGGUCCAUGAAGACUAAUUUAAACAUGAGAGGACUAUAUAAUUAUAAGACUAUGAUGGUUCUAGCCUCUACAAUUCCUCAUAAGAUAGUUUCUCUCGGGGCAUGGCUUAAGCCAAAUAAAUCUAUUUCAGGCUAUUAUAUGGAUGGGUUUGUUUUCUAUCUCGAUCCUUUUUGGCUAGUAGUAUCAAGGUAGGAUUUUACUUUUGGGUACUGCCGAGAAUAUGUUGCGAAUGCUUUUUUGUGGAGGGUUAGAUUAAUUGAAGAAUCCUGUUCUUUGCAACAGCUUCCUGCAUGAACAUUGAAUUACUUCACCUCAAUGCUCCUGAGUCUAGUACAUGAACAAUGCUUUUUCAGCAAAGUCUCCCAAAUUUUUGUGGUUGUCACUGGGCUCUUUUCAAUUGCUUUGCUGGCAUUCUUAAAAUGCGGUAUGCUGAUGUUGGAUAGGGAGGACUACGUCACCAAGUUUGAAACUCAGUGCUUGAUGGACAAAAUCAGUUGAAUUGGAUGCACUUCCUGGUAUGUUUUCAAGAAAUCGCUGGUUCCUUUUCUGCAUCAUAUGUUGAUGAAAGAUGAUAAAAAUUAAUCAUAGGGUCAAGUGAUAAACAGUGCCAUGAAGGACAUCAAAUUACCGAUAUCUUGUGUUCAAAUUGUAAAAUGAUGCUUCAGCUUGUUCUUGUUGAUUAUCGCAGAAAUUGCAGCGUAUCAACUUCAACAUUAUUAGCAGAUUCUAUUAUAUGCUAAACAUGAUGUUACUAGGUGGCAAAUCUUAAUGGUAGGUGUGGCUUUUGGUUUCUAAAUGCAUAAUACCAAAAAUUCUCGUUGGCGCUCUAUAUUCUCUACUUUCACUGUUUCUGGCAAAACUUGUCAUCGUUCUUAAGGGAUAAAAUGGUUUAGCAAGUGCAAUCAAUUUAUAUUCAAGAUUCAUUUUGUCGUCCGCUUAGUGUGUAACACAUUUUCAUAUGUCACCAUAAUGAGGCUCUAUGGGCUAAAGAAGCCAUGAUAUGCACAAGUCAAAGUGUAUGAAUUCUAUAGAAGUCUAGAUAGUCCUUUGAACGUAAAAAAUUUUCGGCUUAUUCUCAAUCAAAUAAUUUCGCGAGCAUGAAUAUGCUCAAUACUGGUGUAGAUUGUUGAUUUCAUUUUGUUUCUGAGAUCGAGGUUUGAUAUUCAACCCAGAAACAUCCACUAGACCUGUUAGAUACAUCAACUUGAAAGUUGGGUUAUUAGCUACUUUAGUUGAGGCAUAUGCUUCGUCUCCAGUUGCUUAGCACGUUCAGAGUCUCUAGUAUCUUCCCUGAUGUCCCUGCCUGCAUAAAGAAGAACAUAUGUUGAAGUCCUAAUAUACAAGGUCACUUCUGUGCUUAUAAUGAAAGGGGAGGACUGUCCGCUGUUGGAAGAGAGAUUAGACAGAAGUAUGUGAGUACAAUUCUUUGUUUUCAUGAGCUUCUGAUCAUUAAAUUAUUCUGUGAACAUUACUGUUGCCCCUGGCUUGGAAAAUCUGAGUAUAUUGCCUUUUGCAUUCCCCGAGAACAAUUUGUCUCUCUGGUGGCCUAAAAAGCUGUAAUUAAUAGUUCUUGUGAGGCAAAGUUUAUUGGAAAGAGGGAUCUGAACAUGUCAUUAAAGGUACUUUGCAUAUUUCAUGAUGUUGGCCAUGUUGUACAAAAGAAAUUAAAAUUUUAGACACAAGAUUUUGAGAUUUUCUAGUGCCUUCCGUGGUAAAAUGGCAGGAAGAAUGCUAUUGGUCUGACUUAGAUGAGUUUUUUUUCAAGAGAAACUUUGCAAUUCAUUCAUUCUGCGGGUUCUGUGUAGAAAGAUGCGGCAUCUCUAAUUUUCUCAUAGACUCUUUUGGUUCAUUAGACACUUGAGUCUGCCAUUCGUAGUUAACACGUGUAUUCAUGUUCUUCACCUGGCAAAAAUGAUAUUACAUCUUUAGGAGAGAAAAUUCAAAUGCCCUUUGUGUUAAAUACCUUAAGCAAUUUUCUAUUUGUUUUAGCUCAAAUGCUGCUGCAACUUAGUUUGUGCGUUCUUGAUGUUUGUUGAAAGCAGCGGAAGCUUUAAAAUUAUCUGUGGGCAUUGUUGCAUCAGAUGAACAUGCAAAUGUAAAGCUGAAAGAAAUCUCAGUGUAUUUACAUUUUCCAAGUGCUUGAAUCGUCUUAAAGUUUUCGUCUGGUUCGAUUCUUAAAUUUCCGAGGAGAAUGGUGGAUUAGAUAUAUGUGCCUGUAUUUUCUCCCUGGUUUCACUAAGCAUAAUGAUAUUUCGGAUUUUGAACUCAUGUUAUUUGUGACAUUUAAUGAGAUUCUCAUGGGCUUGUAUCAUUAUAAGAUUAAUGCUCAAAGGUAAUCUAGUCGACCAUUAUGAACAUGUCUGGCUGAAUAAGUUUUGGCUCUUAUACAAUAUCUCAGUCAAAGAAACAUUACUUUGUUUGCAUGGUCCCUCGAUGAAGACAUAAUAAUGUCCUUCUGCAGUUGUUGCACCUGGUUUGCUAACGCAGCUGCAAUCUGCUUAAACAUUGGUAAAAUUGUGGUAAAAAUUUCAUAAGCAUGCCGACCUUUAAAGAUUGGAAUAUAUGUUGAAAGAAGAUAUAUACCCUAAAUUUGUAGUUCUAGAUGACGUCUCACAGUUCUGAUGACGUGGCUGGCUUAGUUGGAGAUGGACAGGUACUUGAGCAUCUUCAUCAAUGUUCGGUCCAUUUGGUAGAAGACUCGUUUGUGCUCCGUUUAUGUUAUUUGCAUCUCUUGUUUCAUAGACCUGGGAUAUGGAAUGCUUUUGUUCAGACCGAGUAUAGAAUCUGAGGUAAAUGACUAUGACAGAACUUUAUAGUGAUAAGAUUAAUACCUUCUUGAACAAUUCCACAUUCUCUUGUUUAAAUAGAUUUUCUUUCUUAUGCAAUUCCAAAUUUUCCUGGUGAAGAAGGCUUCCCUGCACGGAUUUGUGGUUGAAAUUUAGCAACCUGAAUGAGGAAAACAGUAAAGUUAGCAGUCUGACUGAGUUAAAUACUUUACCUUUCUGUUCAGCUCUUGUAUUUCUUCUGUUAAAACUUGGUCCUGCAAAAGUAUGAAGCCUGUUUGUCAUUCAAGAUCCUUGGAAGCAAGUUGGAUCGAUUCUAUGAAUCAGCAUGUAAGAAGUGAACCUUUUUUGUGCGGACACCACGGAGACUUAUUUCCAUUUGGUUCUCCAAAUUCCGCAAAUCUUUGAUGCUCAAGCCUGAGAGUUCUUCUCCCAUCAAUUGCCUGUCAGCGUCGUGCGAUGCAGAUGACAGCUGGCACGCCUUCAACUUUUACAGUUCUGAUAUCCUAUGUCCUGCCUGUCUUUCCAUUUACCUUAUGUACAUGUGAUGUUGAGCCCUGCCAUAACUUAAAUUUCGUGGGGGGAGUUGUGUGCUUUUAGAAAUGCUCCAUGUUUUAAAUGAAGUCGUGAGGCCUUUAGCUGAACUGGAUCCUUCAACUAGAGAUGGAAUUCCAGGAUCUGAAAACCUACCUUGGCAUGGGAAAGGAAAUUAGAUCAUGGUGCUCAGGGGUGACAAAAAAAAAAAAAAAAAAUUCGGAUCUCCUUCUGUGGCAUGAAUGAGUUUUCUCUUGGGCCUUUACUCCCUUUGAAUUCCCUGUAAAUAAGAUUUUGUUAUUUAAAUUUGGCGUGUGCGAAUUUAUGCUAAAAGUUGCACCGGCUACAUUUUGGUCAGUUGGAACUGUCAAUUCUUUUUUAAAUGCCCAGACAGCAGUUGGAUGGAAAUCCAGAACAGUGAGUUGAGAACAGUGAGUUGUUUCCAAGUAUUCUUUCUUGCUGGACGUGGAGAUGCAUAAGGGGUCAAAAUCUAGAAUGUCCUUUUCUUCAGAAAAUCCAAUGAAUCCAAUGAGAAUGAACCUAGAACCGAAACAGCAACAACAUGAAAAUUGGACGAAGAUAAACAGCAGCAACACAAAAGCGAAACAAAGACCUCAGUACUAGAGUAAUUCUUCGUCAUUGCCUGGUGAAGCCUCCUUCCUCAGAAUGACACUACACUAAUAAGGUCACAAGGGUUGCACGAAGACCAGGCAAAGGAGUAAGGGCAGAUAGUUACUCAUCUUAACACUGACCCUUUCGGUAAUUAACAGCUAUUAAUGGUAUUCACUCGUCAGAUUGGCACCAUGGAAGCAUCGCCAUAAGAAAUGAAAAGAAAAUGCACGAGAAGAGAAGAUGUACCGAUGAUUUUCUCGGAGUUGCUGCAAUUGUUGCCUUAAUAUUGCUGCUUCCCUUUGCCAAUACUGUCGAAUAAACUGUGUAAUUUAGUGAAUAUACUGGGAUUUGGGCGGUCUCACAAUGUCCGUGUACUGGAAGGAAAUAGUGUACAUGAAAAUGCAUGGUCAUGACAAUCAAAAGUCUCUCCGGGUAACUGUGGGAUGAUUCUUC
Rhodamnia argentea is the source of this 5804-nucleotide long non-coding RNA. RefSeq lists it as uncharacterized. Lineage: Eukaryota; Viridiplantae; Streptophyta; Magnoliopsida; Myrtales; Myrtaceae. The record is from RefSeq and is a predicted model, not a curated record. The transcript is spliced from 3 exons.